UAGGGAAUCUUCCGCAAUGGGCGAAAGCUUGACGGAGCAACGCCGCGUGAGUGAUGAAGGUCUUCGGAUCGUAAAACUCUGUUAUUAGGGAAGAACAAAUGUGUAAGUAACUAUGCACGUCUUGACGGUACCUAAUCAGAAAGCCACGGCUAACUACGUUCCAGCAGCCGCGGUAAUACGUAGGUGGCAAGCGUUAUCCGGAAUUCUUGGGCGUAAAGCGCGCGUAGGCGGUUUUUUAAGUCUGAUGUGAAAGCCCACGGCUCAACCGUGGAGGGUCAUUGGAAACUGGAAAACUUGAGUGCAGAAGAGGAAAGAGGAAUUCCAUGUGUAGCGGUGAAAGGCGCAGAGAUAUGGAGGAAAACCAGUGGCGAAGGAGACUUUCUGGUCUGUAACUGACGCUGAUGUGCGAAAGCGUGGGGAUCAAACAGG
Molecule: ribosomal RNA, 429 nt
Filed under: Actinomycetes bacterium
Lineage: Bacteria; Bacillati; Actinomycetota; Actinomycetes
Description: Actinobacteria bacterium partial 16S ribosomal RNA
Rfam family: Bacterial small subunit ribosomal RNA
Source: RNAcentral